AUACAGAGGGUGCGAGCGUUAAUCGGAAUUACUGGGCGUAAAGCGCGCGUAGGCGGUCUAUUAAGUCAGAUGUGAAAUCCCCGGGCUCAACCUGGGAACUGCAUCUGAUACUGGUAAGCUAGAGUUUGGGAGAGGGAAGUAGAAUUUCAGGUGUAGCGGUGAAAUGCAUAGAGAUCUGAAGGAAUACCAGUGGCGAAGGCGACUUCCUGGCCUAAAACUGACGCUGAGGUGCGAAAGCGUGGGUAGCAAACGGGAUUAGAAACCCCGGUAGUCC
RNAcentral lists this ribosomal RNA (274 nucleotides) under uncultured bacterium. Its description in RNAcentral is "partial 16S ribosomal RNA". It matches the Rfam family "Bacterial small subunit ribosomal RNA", at positions 523 to 796 of the family's 1533-position model. The record is from RNAcentral.